RNAcentral lists this ribosomal RNA (253 nucleotides) under uncultured bacterium. Its description in RNAcentral is "partial 16S ribosomal RNA". It matches the Rfam family "Bacterial small subunit ribosomal RNA", at positions 524 to 776 of the family's 1533-position model. The record is from RNAcentral.
UACGUAGGGUGCAAGCGUUAAUCGGAAUUACUGGGCGUAAAGCGUGCGCAGGCGGCUUUGCAAGACAGAUGUGAAAUCCCCGGGCUUAACCUGGGAACUGCAUUUGUGACUGCAUGGCUGGAGUGCGGCAGAGGGGGAUGGAAUUCCGCGUGUAGCAGUGAAAUGCGUAGAUAUCUGGAGGAACACCGGUGGCGAAGGCGGCAUCCUGGACCGGCAUUAACGCUGAGGCGCGAAAGCGUGGGGAGCGAACAGG